This 486-nucleotide ribosomal RNA is filed under the name uncultured bacterium. RNAcentral describes it as "partial 16S ribosomal RNA". It matches the Rfam family "Bacterial small subunit ribosomal RNA", at positions 30 to 507 of the family's 1533-position model. The record is from RNAcentral.
AUUGAACGCUGGCGGCAUGCCUUACACAUGCAAGUCGAACGGCAGCACGGGUGCUUGCACCUGGUGGCGAGUGGCGAACGGGUGAGUAAUACAUCGGAACAUGUCCUGUAGUGGGGGAUAGCCCGGCGAAAGCCGGAUUAAUACCGCAUACGAUCUACGGAUGAAAGCGGGGGACCUUCGGGCCUCGCGCUAUAGGGUUGGCCGAUGGCUGAUUAGCUAGUUGGUGGGGUGAAGGCCUACCAAGGCGACGAUCAGUAGCUGGUCUGAGAGGACGACCAGCCACACUGGGACUGAGACACGGCCCAGACUCCUACGGGAGGCAGCAGUGGGGAAUUUUGGACAAUGGGCGAAAGCCUGAUCCAGCAAUGCCGCGUGUGUGAAGAAGGCCUUCGGGUUGUAAAGCACUUUUGUCCGGAAAGAAAUCCUUGGCUCUAAUACAGUCGGGGGAUGACGGUACCGGAAGAAUAAGCACCGGCUAACUACGUG